AUGUGGUUGAAAAACCAGCCACACCUUCACAGCCUCCUGGGCAUCCUUGUUCUCUUCAUCCUUGUUUCCACAGCAUCUGCUGCAAACCGUGGGUCUGACAUUCUCGACAAGGGCCGCAACAUCACCGACGGCGACACCCUUGUUUCGGCUGAUGGGUCAUUCACCCUGGGCUUCUUCCCUCCCGGGGUGCUUGCCAAGAGAUACCUCGGUAUACGGUUCUCCGUGUCCGAGGACGCCAUCUGUUGGGUAGCCAACAGAGACCGUCCUCUCACUGACGCUCGUGGGGCGCUGGUGAUUAGUGACACGGGAAGCCUUUUCUUGCUCGAUAGCUUCGGCCAGGUUGUGUGGUCUUCAAACACGACAGGCGCUGCCUCCACGACGCUGCAACUGCAUAAUUCAGGCAACCUUGUCCUGAGCGAUGGGAGUGCCAAUGGUGCUGCCAUAUGGCAGUCAUUUGACCACCCAUCAAACACCUUGCUUCCCAGCAUGAAGAUUGGCAAGAACCUAUGGACCAGGGAAGAGUGGUACCUUACGUCGUGCGCUUCGGCCAAUGACCCUGCCACAGGGAAGUUUCGCUACAUUACUGACGGAGAAGGUGUGCCACAAAACAUACUCUUGGAUGGUGACAAAAUGAUCUACCGGUCAGGACCAUGGAAUGGCCUACGGUUCAGCGGUGUCACGGAGAUGACCUCGUAUUCUGACAAGUUUGCUUACCAGUUGACAAGAAGCUCAAGUGAGGUAACCUACAGCUAUGUUUCCAAGGCUGAAGCCUCCUUCUCGCGUCUACUUCUGACUGAUGACGGAGUAUACCAACGCCUGGUAUGGGACCCAACCAGCCGGUUGUGGAAGAUCUUCUUCCAAGCGCCGAGGGACAUCUGCGACCACUAUGGCAGGUGUGGGGCAUUUGGUCUGUGCAACGCCAAUGCUCCAUCAACGUCGUUCUGCAGCUGUGUACAGGGGUUCAGCCCGACAUCUCCAGUGCAGUGGAAGAUGAGGGACACCUCCAACGGUUGCCGCCGAAAGAUGGUACUGGACUGUGGCAAUGGAAUGUCCAGUACCACGGACGGUUUCGUGGUGAUAGACGGAGUGAAGCUUCCCAACACGCACAAUGUAUCGGUGAAUGCUAGCAUCACGUUGGAGGAGUGCAGGGCGAGGUGCCUAGCCAACUGCUCUUGUCUGGCGUAUGCGCCGUUGGAUCUCAAAGGAGGAGGCGCUGGAACUGGCUGCAUCAUCUGGACAGAGGACCUCAUGGAUCUCCGGUAUGUAGAUGGAGGGCAAAUCCUUUAUCUCAGAUCCACCAAGUCAGAAUUAGAUGGGCCAUCUGUAUCCAUGUUCCCAACCGGUAUCGUUAUCGGUGUAUCCGUAGCCUUGAUCAUCAUUCUGGUUCUCCUUGCCUUCUGGGUUAUUAUCACCAGGAGACGACAUCGCAUGCAAAGGGUAUUAGUACACAAUGGUCUGAGGGUGACAGGGGGUUCUGAUAGCCAUUCUCCGAAUCCCGCUUCGCCCAUGACGUCCGUCCCUACAAUUGAUCUCCAUACUAUAAUAGAGGCUACAGGAAGUUUCUCCGAUGCAAAUAAAGUUGUUGAAGAAGGAUUUAGUGUUGUCUACAAGGGGCAACUACCUGGUGGUACAAUGGUUGCUGUAAAGAGGCUCAAACAGUCUCUUCUUACUGAUAAAGGCAGGCAGCAUUUCUCAAGGGAAGUGGAAGUGAUGUCAACGCUCACCCAUGUCAAUCUUGCUAAGCUCCUCUACUAUUGCCGGGAAGGAGAUGAGUGGAUACUAGUCUACGAGUGGAUGGAGAAAAAAAGUUUGAAUCUUUACAUAUUUGGAGAAGAAGGACUCCGUUCCUCACUGAGUUGGGCGCAAAGACGGGAAAUAAUUCGAGGUGUGGCCAUAGGUGUUGAAUUUCUUCAUGGCAGAGGAUUCAUUCACAGGGAUCUAAAACCUGCGAACAUACUUGUCAGUGAUACGUGGGUUCCAAAGAUAGCAGACUUUGCCACCGCAAAGCUAUUUAUUGACGAGCAGACAGAUUUGACAUUAGUACAGACACGGGGAUAUGUGGCUCCAGAGUAUAUAGGGGAAGGGGCCCUGACGUACAAGUGUGAUGUAUAUAGCUUCGGAGUCGUUUUGCUGGAGACAGUCAGUGGCAAAAGGAGAACAAGCAAUGCAAUGUUCCUUCCUGAUGCCUGGGAAUUGUGGAAUCAAUGUAAGAGCGGGGAGCUUCUUGAUGUGGCGGUGGGUGGUGAACCUGAAGGUGAAGUCUUGUCGGGGCUACUCAGAUGCAUCCAGAUUGGCCUUCUCUGCGUGCAGUAUUUGCCAGAGCAUAGACCUUCAAUGUCUGAAGUUGUGGCAAUGCUAAACAACAGCUCACAGCUCCCCAGGCCACUGAAACCCACACCAAACAGCAGACCAGGACCGGGCGCACAGCCAGGACCGAGCCGGACCUUCUUACUGUGGCUAUUUUGCUCAUGUGGACGUGACCCCACGAGCCCAGGCAUGGAAGCUACGGUGUAG
This 2514-nucleotide ribosomal RNA is filed under the name Triticum aestivum (bread wheat). RNAcentral's name for it is "partial small subunit ribosomal RNA". Lineage: Eukaryota; Viridiplantae; Streptophyta; Magnoliopsida; Poales; Poaceae. The record is from RNAcentral.